AUACGUAGGUGACAAGCGUUAUCCGGAUUUACUGGGCGUAAAGGGCGUGUAGGCGGUCUUGCAAGUCAGAAGUGAAAUUCCUGAGCUCAACUCGGGCGCUGCUUCUGAAACUGCAGGACUUGAGUGCUGGAGGGGAUAGCGGAAUUCCUAGUGGAGCGGUAAAAUGCGCAGAUAUUAGGAAGAACACCGGUGGCGAAGGCGGCUAUCUGGACAGUAACGGACGCUGAGGCGCGAAAGCGUGGGGAGCAAACAGGAUUAGAUAACCUGGUAGUCCACGCUGUAAACGAUGAAUACUAGGUGUAGGGGGUAUCGACUCCCUCUGUGCCGCAGUUAACACAAUAAGUAUUCCGCCUGGGGAGUACGGCCGCAAGGUUGAAACUCAAAGGAAUUGACGGGG
RNAcentral lists this ribosomal RNA (397 nucleotides) under uncultured bacterium. RNAcentral describes it as "partial 16S ribosomal RNA". It matches the Rfam family "Bacterial small subunit ribosomal RNA", at positions 523 to 918 of the family's 1533-position model. The record is from RNAcentral.